This is a long non-coding RNA of Callithrix jacchus (white-tufted-ear marmoset), 3599 nucleotides long. The record is from Ensembl. Lineage: Eukaryota; Metazoa; Chordata; Mammalia; Primates; Cebidae.
CAGUGUUUGGGAAAUCAAAGCCACUAUACCUGUGUGAUUGUACAUUGUGUCCCCCCCCAACUCCCAUGAAUAAAAAAUGAUAUGUUCCUCAAACUAUUUAAUUCCAGGGACAGUAGCUCAUUGGGGAAAGUGGCCACACCAGCCCAUUGGACCAGAGAGACAAGGAGCUUCAAAGGAUCGCUGGCAGCUCUGCAAGGAGUGACCGUCUCUGGAGAAAAUGGAUCCCAGAGAGACCCAGAAAGGGAUUCACCUGGUGAAGCAAGACAAGUGACAAGGACGGGCGCGGUGGCUCACACCCGUAAUUCCAGCACUUUUUGAGGCUGAGGCAGGUGGAUCACCUGAGGUCAGAAGUUCAAGACCAGCCUGAUCAACAUGGUGAAACUCCAUCAGGUGUGGUUGGUGCACUAGUCCCAGCUACUUGGGAGGCUGAGGCAUGAGAAUUGCUUGAACCCAGGAGGCAGAGGUUGCAGUGAGCUGAGAUCGUGCCAUUGCACUCUAGCCUAGGUGUCAGAGAGAGACUCUGUCUCAAAACAAACAAACAAAAAGACAAAUGACGAGAAGACCUCCUUGUCAGGGUGGCUCACAGAACCAAGUUCCUGGAAGCACCUGGCUGAGGGCCCCUGGUACUCCAGCCUCAUGAUCCACCCCCAGUGGAGACCCUCCUCCCAGACCCUUCUCUCAGACACCCUCAGCCAACUGAUUGCCUCUAAAUUCCGGAACAGACUCUGAUCAUCAAGAAGAAAUGUCACCUGAAUUAAUGACAGUUUGGAGUCUGGUUUAACAAGCCAAGGACUCCAACGGUGGGGGGGGGGGCGGUGUUGGGGGUGAGGAAUGCUGCAGUUGUUUAAGUGGAGACCUGGUGAUUUCAGGUCAGGGUCAGCUUUGGUCCCAAGAGCCAAGAGGGCCAGUAAAAUGAUAAUUCAGACAUUAUACUCCUGCUGACUUGGGCACUCAGUUCUGGGUCAAACUAGAACACAAAACAGUAGACACCUAGCGUUGCUGGACAGAACCAUGCUCAGGCCUGGGUGCAGUGGCUCACACCUGUAAUCCCAGCACUUUGGAAGGCUGAGGCGGGCGGAUCACCUGAGGACAGGAGUUUGAGACCAGCCUGACCAACAUAGAGAAACCCUGUUCUACUAAAAAUACAAAAUUAGCUGAGCGUGGUGGCACAUGCCUGUAAUCCCAGCUACUCAGGAGGCUAAGGCAGGGGAAUCACUUGAAUCUGGGAGACAGAGGUUGCAGUGAGCUGAGAUCGAGCCAUUGCACUCUAGCCUGGGCAAUAAGAAUGAAACUUUGCCUCAAAACAAAAACAAAAACCAACCACAUGUUCAGGUAAAAAUAACAUCUGCCACUUACUAAGCACCUACUAUGGGCCAGUCGCCAUGGUGCAUGCUGGGUCAACAUUCUCUUGUUUGAUCCUCACGGCAAUUCCAUCAGGGAGAAACUGUUAUUAUCCCUGUGUGACAGAUGGGGAAACUGGGGCACGAGUCAAGUUGCUAGGAAGUGGUGAUGCCAAGUUUCAAAGUUCAGCACCCUUGGCAGAGAGACUGGACUUAGCCGUGCUUUGAUCCAGGAGCAGAAUUAGGAUGCAAUGGGAAGAACUGUAGGGACUUCCUAAGACUUGAGCUGAGGGAGGGCUUGUCAGGAAGUGAGCUCCCUGUCCUGGAAAUGUGUGAGCAAACACUAGAUAAACAUCUUCAGGAAUCCUGUUGCAGAAAUCCCUGGAUGGUCCUAGCUUAGCUGCCCUACAAGCUCUGAGAUUCUAUCUUGGACCCUGUGAACUAUACAGAGCCCUGAAGGGCUCACACAGGCCCUUCCCACCCUUGCCUCAGCCCUCCUUAUACCUUUCUGGAGGCCCAAGGGUGCCUCAUUGUAAGCCCCCCACCACGAGUAGGAUGCCCCUUGAAGAUAUUGGACAGAGGGCACCACAGAGCUCAGGGAGCCUAAGCUCUGAAGGCCUCCAGUGAGGCUGAUUUGCUCUCCAGAGAGGCAGGCAGGGGCAAGGGCAAUCAAGCCUCUCCUUGCAUACCUGCCCGGCCCCUCCCAUUGAUACAACCAGGAGCCAUUUCUAAGGAAAUGAGAGUAGAGGGGCAGAGUUGGGAGGUGGGCAUAGGGCAGGCUCCACGGGAGAGCAGGUUCACCCUGUAGUUAACUGAGAAAGGUACUGGCUUGGAUUUCAGGAUUCCUGAACUGGAGCACUGGAAUGUGAUCCCCGGCUGAGACUCAACCCAGGAAGAAGCACCCAACAGUCUCCCUGCAGCCCACCUAAGGAACAAAGCUCCUUUGGGCCAGGCUGAAAGCAGAGGGUGGAGGAGACACACGACUGGCCUCCAGCCCCGGCCCAAGCCACUCAUUAACUUCAUGGCCCGAGGCAAAUUACUUCACCUCUUGGCCUGUUUCCUCCUCUGUACAGCAGUGAUAACAUCCUGCCAGUGAGACCUGAUAAAUAUUCGACAAGGUCCUGUGGAAAGCUGACUGUGUUUAUACCCUUGUAACGUGCUAUUAUUACCCAGGGGGGCCCUUGGGGAGGGCCCCUCCUGGUCUGACCUGAAAUGUCACUCCCAGACAGGAUGCUGGAUCCUGUCCUUUCCUGAGGGCAGCCCAGGGGUGGGUAGGGCCUGUUUCUAAAGAAGAGAACCCAGCACUCAGCAAACAUGCAUUGAUGCUGGUGAUGAUCUUUGGGUGAUGAUGGUGAUGGAAACUGAUGCCAUCUGUGCACCACACCCUGAUGGCAGGGCGGGUUCAAACACUGGGGCGGCGGUUACCCUCCUGGGCAUCGCUUCCACCCACCCCUUCCCGCCAGGAAAGCUGUCCACUCACCCCGCCCUACCCUCAAGGGAAAAUUCCUGUAGUAGACCUCGUGGGCCAGAGGCAGUGACCAGAGGGGACAGGAAAGGUUGGGGGCCACACUGAGCUGGAAGUCAACUCCUUGGACACCUCCAAGCCCCACAAAUAUACUUAUCAAAGCAAUUGUAACUUGCUCUAGGGAGACCCCAGGGGUUAGGCCAGGAUCUGGUGACCCAGAGAAUGACAAUAACUGCCUCUUCUUGAUUCGUUCAGCAAAUCAACAGCCUGGGGGACUGAAGAGUUGUGACUUCUAAGGGAACAGUUGGGUUGUUAAUACAGCUUGCAGAAGUCUUCUCUAUUUCCAAAGUGGUGUCAUGUUUAUCACUGGCUACUUCUCAUACCAGCUCUAUGUCUUUCAGAUGCAAAAACUGAGCCCAUUUGGAUAACCAAAUGCUUAAGGUAGCAGAGAUAAUGACCAAGGCAGGACUAGACCCUGGGUCUCUUAGAGAUAAUGACCAAGUCAGGACUUGACCCUAGGUCUCUUAAGCCAGCCUCUGGCUACCGCACUGUAGCAUCUGUCCAUUGUUAAGGCAGAGCCUGCACUGACCCAUGAGUCAUAAGCAUGGCCAGGACCCCUAAGCCCAGUCUCAGUAUAGCCAUACCUGCCCCCCAUAUCCACCUUCCUGUUUGGAGACACCCACCUCCCCUAUUGUGGAGGUCACGAGUAGUAGUAGGCGUAAGUGUAUGAGAACAUCCAAACAGCAGAAUCGAGCUGAUUGGAUAAGCUGCAGAGAGAAGAUGGCAUUUCCCUA